Long non-coding RNA from Nannospalax galili (Upper Galilee mountains blind mole rat), 1643 nucleotides. RefSeq lists it as uncharacterized. NCBI's taxonomy places the organism in Eukaryota, Metazoa, Chordata, Mammalia, Rodentia, Spalacidae. The record is from RefSeq and is a predicted model, not a curated record. The transcript has 7 exons.
GUAGAAGCGGGCGCAGCGCUGGCGCGGCGGCAGUAGAGCAGCGAUGGGAUGGCGAGGGCUGUGGUGGCGGCGAUGGCAGUAGCCAGAGAAGAGUCGGUGCACGCGGAAUCCUCCCAGUUGUGAAUUAAAAUUUGCCAAGGAUGACAGGCUGAUCUAAAGUACCAUGGCAAGAGGAAGUAAACGGAAGCCACUACCUGCUGGAAGUGUCUGUGCUCUGCAUGGGGAAAUACAAAGAAAUGAGAAGACAGGAAAAUCUUAACUGCUCGCUCUGGAUCCUACGGCUGCAGCUGCCAGGGGGGUUUGUGACGUUUACAUAAAAAUAAAGAAUCAAGGCUGGCCGAUGGAGGUCUGAUCACAUCUGAGCUCUGCCCCGCCUGCACCCCAGAAAGAAAAUGAGGAAGACUGGCCAGGAGCAGUGUGGGGGCCUCCCCUGCAAGCUGAGGAGUUUGCAGACAGGACUCAACUGCAUCAGGCUAAGCCGUGGAGGGAGCAUGCCGCGGCCAUCCCCCUUGCUCGUCUCCUACCUACCUGCCUGGCUCUUUUUGCACUGAGAAGACAAGCAGGGGAAACACCAGCAUAGAAGGGUCUAAACAGGCUAUGCAGAUGAGGGGAGAGAAAGAGACAGAACUGAUUAUCCAGUCUCAGUCUGGUGACUUUAAGAUUAAAAAUGGGGGGAUGUCAAUAUGUCCCAAAUCAAAAUCAUGGACAUUUUUCUUUUGUGAUUAAAAACACUUCUCAUUAUUUUUCGCUAGCUGGAUGGAGCCGGUUGUCACCUAAUACAAAACAUCAGGGAAAGGGCUUCAGUUUCCUCUAAUUCUAAGAUGGCUGUAGGCACUAGACAGACCUUCACUCCCGUAAUGCAGCAGCUGCCUGGAUGACCCGUCCCCUGUACACCUGCCCACAGGGACCAGCCUGCUUCUUGGUCUCUACCCCCCCUCUGCGGCAGACUUCAAAUGGCUACCACAGAGAAGGCCCGAGACUUCCACGUCUUGUUCAUGCGAGAGUGGUGGAGGGGAGAGCCUAUCAGAAUGGGGAACUGAGGCUUGGUGGAAAAGGACUAAGUUCCUAGCAGAGAACUCUAUGGCCCCUACCUAGGAAGUCCACACGGCCCCCCUCAAGCUGUUGAGGAGCAGGCAGAGUAGCGGGAUCAAGGACAGAAGAUGGCCCCCAAAAUGUCUUUUCUAUGCUACCUGCCAUUUUGGGAAGGGCACAUCAAAGAAGAGGGAAACUGGAACCCAGGGGAUAAAGAGAUGUGCCCAGAGUCUCAGAACUGACAGAACAAGGACACAGCACGGUGGAUCUAGAGGUUAAAGCUACACGCUUGGAAGGCUUCCUCGUAGUCAAACCUUCCCGGCCUGGAUAAAGUCUACAGAAGUACCAAAGGUCAUCUGGGGGUCACUCUCUGAGAUUUGUGGAAAUUGCUUGUACCUAAGAAUGCAGGCCAUCAAAAUUAGUGUGCACAUUGCUGACUGACUGUCACCCAGGGGACAGCUUUUCCUCAGAAGAUUUCUGGGUGUGCAAGUUACAUCAUGGGUAACUUCUGGCUUCCCCAGAAUAUGGUACGGAUGCUAUGUGGACAGCAGCUCUCAACUAUUGGUGAGAUUUGGUAGUGAUUAGGAUAAGUGUUGUCAUUGUGUGUGUGU